RNAcentral lists this small nucleolar RNA (120 nucleotides) under Echinops telfairi (small Madagascar hedgehog). RNAcentral's name for it is "Small nucleolar RNA SNORA61 (ENSETEG00000025256.1)". The record is from RNAcentral. Lineage: Eukaryota; Metazoa; Chordata; Mammalia; Afrosoricida; Tenrecidae.
ACUCUCCAGAUUCCUACCCCUCAGAUCUAAACCAUUUUCUGAGUGGAUGGAAAAGGAAGAAAAGUAAAAUUGAAGUGGAUUUGGAGCCUUUGGUGACAUACAACUUCAUUUCAAACGUGU